This 640-nucleotide long non-coding RNA is filed under the name Mytilus galloprovincialis (Mediterranean mussel). The record is from RNAcentral. Lineage: Eukaryota; Metazoa; Mollusca; Bivalvia; Mytilida; Mytilidae.
GUGGUUUAUACUUUCCAACGUUUUGGACGAUUUUAUGAAGAAGAAAAAAAUGUUUUUCGACCAAAGAAGGGAGCGUGAGUAAGAGAUAAACUAGACGUAGUAUAAAAGUGUCCUGACAGCCAAAAAUAUCUAGCAUAACAAGUCCAUGGUUACAAAAUUUGUCCAUUGCGUUUUUAUUAAAUAAGAAAAUGUUUGAUAAAAGAAGUCAUUUACAUGUAAACAACAAAAAUUUUAAUUUGUGUGCUGUAAUUUUGUUGAACAGUAGUACACUAAUCUUUAAAUAAAAUGUAUGUGCCCAGAUUCAUGAUCAGGUCAUUGAUAUUUCUUGGUAAACACGUCCAUGUUCUUUGUUUUACUAGUAAAUUAUUUAAAUGUAUCAAUUGGAUUUUUAAAUUCUUGUAUGAUUUAAAAAAAAAACAAUUGUGCAUUAACAAUUCAUUUUAUCAAAAUAUGGGUUUUGUUGUUGUUUUUUUUUUGUUUUUUUUUUUUUAUAUAAAACAGAGUUUUUAUUUUCCUAGCAAAAUUGAUAUCACAGACUUUUAUGACUUGUUUGCUUAAUGCCCAGUGACAAAUAUUUCAUACAUAUGCAGGACGAGAAAAAAUAUAUUUGGUGACACGAAUUAUUCUUUUCCAUUAGUUG